AGAGAGAGAGGUCAGAAGAUUGAAUCAAGGUUCCUGAAUAAAACUGCUUGAAGAUCUCCUGUGGUCGUGUCUUCCUUGCUGGCACGGCAAGUGGUGACCUGUACGGGCAAUCCUCGAAUCCACCGUAAAGGGAUUCAACUCUCCCCGAGAUCAGAACUUCUUGCAGUCAGGGCAGCGCUGGAAAGCUCCCAAGGACCGGCAAGAUCCGUUGUGGGUCCCUGAAAGAUUGACCAGGAGGUACAACAAGAAUGAAGAUCCUGCUGUUGCUGACACUUCUCGGUGUGACCCAAAUGCUGGUCCAAAUGGAGCCCCGGUGGGGGAUACUACCGGUGUUCCCGAGACUCAUGCCGAUACAUCAUGACCUUUAAGCCCACUCCUCUAAUUUGUCUAAACAGUUGUCAAGAUAUCUUUUAGGUAAUUGGACUGGAGAAUUCGAUUUCUUAAUGGAUCAGCUACGUGUAGCCAUCGUGACCUAGACUGGCUAUGAGUUUGUCAUCUUGGAUUGCUGCUGCUAUGAAUCAUCUGAGGGAGUGGGCGGGUAUGGGAGCCCUAGCUGGACUCUUGCUGCUGGUCUCCCUAGUGAGCCUGUGCUGUCUCUGCAGAAUGAGGUUUGUCCAGAGGCGGCAUGUGGUUAUGGUGGUACAGGCAUUUGCAGCCAUUAAAGCAGGACAGUCCCCUC
RNAcentral lists this long non-coding RNA (679 nucleotides) under Rattus norvegicus (Norway rat). Its description in RNAcentral is "long non-coding RNA NONRATT009569". Lineage: Eukaryota; Metazoa; Chordata; Mammalia; Rodentia; Muridae. The record is from RNAcentral.